AUCAGACUGCUACCCUCUUAUGCUUGGCAACUGGUCUACCUCUGGGCUACAACCCUACCCCUUUUCCUUCUUACUUUUCUAAACUGGUACUUUGGAAUGAAAAUUUACAUUGAAGGAAGUUAAACUGCAAGGAAAAUUUAUUCUAAAUUACUAUAAUAAGAAAGCGGGAUUAGAAAUCAGUCUGAGUUUAUGGGGGCAGGGGGUGGCGCAGAGGAGGCAGAGUUUUUAAAAGAAAGGAUGGGAAAAAAGGGUGAUUGUUUUGGGCCAAUGGCUUCAACCAGAGGAAGUGUCUCCUCAGCUAAGUUAAAGUGUGGGGCUGGCUCCUCCCUUCCCAGAAGAGAACUAGAGACUGAGGGCGUUACCUCCCUUGAUGUUUACAUUACAAAGGGAUGGUUCCCAGUUCUUUCAUUUAAAUAGACUGGGUUCUUAAAACUGGAGAGAGGCUUUAAAAAUAUUUACACAUCAAACAACCAGAAUAAGAUUUUGAAUUACAAGUGUUCAAUAGAAUGAAGUAUUAGAAAGCCACAGGGCAGGAGAAAGCGGGUCUGUUGAUGAGACAACGUAAAGUUAAAUCGCUCGGAUUUGCCUUCACCCCAAAUUAUGUCAGUACCAAUGUUAUCUAAAAUUUUAGAGUCCCAGCCAGGGCAGGCAUGUUACCAGAGAAGUUAGGGCCCCUCUCAGGUUUUUAGUCAUGUUACUAGAAGAGCCACACAGAGGAGAAAGCUCAGGGAUAAUUUUAUUAGAGUUAUAAGAAAAGCCCAGGGCAGGCAGGGUUCGUGGAAGGCAAGGUUCCUAGCAGAGGGACAUAGAGACAAGGAAGAAGCAAGCGUAUUUUAGUUAGACAAGGGUUUGGUAAGCAGGCAGCCGUAAGGAAAGGGGAGCCUUUGGGGUGUUUGUGGGGAGCUUCAGAGAAAAGAGAAAGCCCCAAAUACCAAAAGUACCAUGCAGAACGUAAGUAAGUUCUGCCAACUUCUGAAAGGGACAGAAAAGAAGAAAAGGCGGGUUGCUGGGCCGGCCGGGGUCACGCUUUCAGAAAAUCGGGCAGGCUGAAACCAGCCACACAGCAGCAGCUCCAGACAGGGUUGAACGGAGCACAGGAAUGGAAUUCCGGGCAGGGAGCGUAAAUCUGCGUUCCUGGGAAUGGGUGGUUCCUUGGCCAGGUAUUGACCUGCCCAACUGGAUGAAUUCUUAAGCGGGGGAGAUAGCAACAUGUUUUCCACCCAGAAGCAGAUUCCAUUCUUUAGGCUAGGAAAUGAUGACUAACACUUGAAGACCAGGGGUGGGGUGAAGGGACAAAACUCAGAAAGGGCUUUGGUUUGUUCCCCUGGUCCCAAACGUGAACCUUUAUUGACCUUUCUGUAAUGUUUGGGUUUUGUCUUUUAAUAUAAUGACACAGAUGGAUUUGGGCUAUACUUGAUUAAGUACCUGAACAGCAUUUUUAAUAUUUGUGAUAUGAAAUGGGAUGUUUUAGUUAUGAGGACUAGUUAUAAUCCAUCCGGACUUUGGCAGCAAGCCGAGCUCCUUCGAGAUGCAGCCCUUGCCGACGACGUUGGUGAAGGUCGUUCGGUACUUUUAAUGCUCAACUUCUCAGUCUGUGUGAAGGGAAGGGAUGAACAGGGUUAUUGUGAGGUUGGUAACCCAGAGGAAGGACACGCAUUGCCCAGGUGAGUUUCAGGCACGUAGGUGGGAUUUAAUGAGUAACUGUGAUGAAUACAGCAGUGGGAGAAGGUGCAGCUCCUGGCGUAGGGUGGGAAACAGACGCCUUGUUCUGCUCCAUAGUAAGAUUUCUGAAUCCGCUACAUAGAUUGCUCUGAAUGGAAAGGGCACACCGCAGCCCUUUUAGUAUUAGAGAAAAUGGGCUCCAUUAAAAUGUUUCCUCAGGGGCUGAAAAUAUAGCUCUGUUGGCAGGUACUUACUUAGCAUAUAUGAGGCCCUGGGUUCAAGUCCUAACAGUGCAUCAACGGGGUAUGGAAGUGUAUAUCUAUGACCCUAGCACUCAGGAGGUAGACACGGGAGAAUCAGACAAAGGUCUACCUCAUAGCAACAACUACAUAGCAAAUUCAAGCCAACCAGGGUUACGUGAGACACUGUCCAAUGAGAGAGAAAAGUCUCAACUAACAGAUGAUUGGCUGCUUGUAUAAUUAGUGUAUACAUACUCUUACCACAUUUGGUUAAACUUGAAAAUACUAUAUACACAUAUAUCUGUAUCUACUAUAUAUACAUAUAUAUGCAGAUACAGUGUCAUACUGCACUAAACAGCAAUACUCAUUCACUAAGGGCCACAAAAUACACUUUAAGCAGCUUAUAUAUGUCCAGCAUCAAAGUACCAACUUUGUGAUAUGUGACUCAUAUCACAACUUUAUUAGAAAAUGUUAAGAUGCCACAAAGUCUUUCUACAGUAUAGCACAUACCCUGUUGUGCUUUGGAAGGACACAAUACCAUGCAUUCCCACACUCUAAAAACUCACCAACCAUGAAAGGAGAAAUGAAAUGUAUUCAGAAAAAUAUUGUCUAAAUCUAUCUUUCAUGAAAAUCUGAAGCCCUGGAAGAAUGAAGCUGUGUUCUAUUGUAAUUGGUGCCAAAUCCCUGUUUUGAUAACAAAGUUGGUUUCCUGUGGCGUUUUCUUGGUACCUUAUUAAUUUUGUUUCCUCAGCUGCUAGAAGGGGUAAGCCGGCAUUUUCUGAAUUCCACUCCAUGGGGCAUGCUGCCUCCAUGAAGAGCCAAUAUGCUUUCUUGUCAUCAGCUCAUAUGUUCCAAGGAGCAGCAAAUGUUACAUUUGGCGCCAGCUCUCAGGGCUCAUCCCCACACACUGACAUGUUAAAGAGGUCACUGUCAUCAUGAUUAGAUCCUCACUCAGUCACACACUGUUAUACAAGCCUGGGAGUGGUAACAAAACAAGAGACACUUUAAUAAAUUGUCCAGGUUAACAAAAAAAAGCUGUGUUAAAGAUACCAGCGCAACAAUCAAAUACAUUUAAAAAUAGUAAUAAACUUCUCUGUUUGUUUUUAAAAAGAAAGACAAGUAUGAGCUGGCUACAUCUGGACAUGCAGAAACCCUUUGUUUCAUUGAGUGAACUUGUGAAAUCUGGGUAUCUGAGUUCAAAUCCAAGUUCAUCCCUCUGAUGGGCAAUCAAAACCAGAUCACUGAACCUGUGCUCCUGACUUUAGCACCUGCAAAAUGACAUGAAUAAUAUUAAAUGCGAUGCCAUUAUUGUGCUAAUAACAAUGAGACUGGGCCUGUGAAUUGCUCAGUGUAGUCUGCUGCACAUAAACCUGGAUAGAAAAUAGCUAUUAUUAGUACUAGCAAAUAAGGAGCAAAUCAUAUAAUCAAGGAAAUAAAUCUACUUCCCAAACCUAAAGGAUGCAUUAGUAGCUGGCACUUUAGCCUCUAGCAAGGUGUUUUUAUAACGUGCUUCUGAAGUCCACCAGCGUACAGAGUCUGCUUGAGGACUACUACAACUGAGUAAGACAAGAUCUGCAUUUCAGCUUCAUGUGCUUGCUCUGCUGCAUGAGAAAAAGAUAUACGUCACAAGAUAUUUUGAUUUGGGGGAAGAAAAAAGCCUAGGGCUUUGCCCCCACAGAGUUUUUGAGACAAAGAAUGAUAUCUCUUUUCUUUUGGUUCUUCUUCCUAAGACAUUCAAGGAUACUCUGUGCAGCAUGGUCAUCCCACCCACACAAGAUCCAACCCCGUCCACUGUGGUUGGUGGCUUGUCUGCCAUAUUUUUCCAGUCUAGUCCUAACAGGGUCCCUUCUAAUAGGCUCAGAGGGGGAGGUAUCUAAUCUUUCACCCUGGCUAUUACACUUUAACUGGAAAAAAAAAAUAUGAUCAUUUCCCAGUAAAAGAAAGUUGAGCCAACAGUAGCUCCAUGCCUGGAAUAUGUAAAGAUGCUCCCCAAGGUGAAUACACCUAGUUCUAAAUCAGGAGGCCUGCACUCUACCCCACUACCCAGAAAGCCUGGGGCUUCGAAGGGUGUCGUGCUGACACCCCAGGCAGGAAGUGGGACACCUCAGACUCAGAAUGCACUCACAGUAGCAACUCCUCCCUGGAUUUCAUCCAGACUACAUUGUGGACUUUCAGAGAAGGAGAGGAAAGAAGAGAAAAUUUUAAAAAGAAGCUCUAAAACCUAAUCAAAAGAGUUCUUACUUCUAAGAGAGUAAACCACAUCAGCUCAGAUAGUCUUAGAUGAUUGCUUUCAUGAUCCCUAAAAAUGUAAACUAUCGUAACAAAAAUAUGAAAGACGGAGAUAUGUAGUUCACUCCAACAAUUGCAGCCAGAGAGCACUGAUCCAUUAAAGAUAGGAAGUUUCUUGGAUAAACAGAAACACGCUCCCAUGCAGUGCCACAAUUGAUGGUCUAAAACAACAUGGCCAUGAUUCAGAGGGCCAUUUUUGCCACCUGACUUCACAAGGCACUUCAUGAAAGGGAAGUGUUCAAACACAACUAUCCCUUCAGAGAGAGUGUCCCUGGUCAUCCCUGCUUCGGCCAACUGAACCAUGGAGGGAGGUCUGUACCACAGAUUGUCUAACUGUUGAGACAGCUGCUGAAUCAGUUGUUUUUGUAAGAAAGACAUGGAGAAAAUAAAUAGGUCAUCAUGCUUUUAUAAAGACCUUUGAUCAUUUCACAGCAGGUGAUCAGUUGCUACCCUGUCUGCUCUGAGCCUCAAAGUGACCCUUGGUGACAUACAAUUCAAGUGUCAUCAUCACGUUCUGAGCAAGAAGUGCUGGACAAGGGUACUGAGUUGCCCACCACUGCUUUAGCAAGUUAGGGACAGUUUCUGGAUUAGAAAUUAAUGCUCAAUCCAGUAUUAUCCUGCUCACGCUGCAUCAAAUAUGGACGAUUUGGUGGGCAUGCAGAAUUCCAUCAGCCAGGGACAGCUAGAUCCAAGAGGUGAAGAGGACUGUGCCCGGGAGAGACAGAAACACACAGCUGCUGAGGGCAGGUGCCUGCUGUUCUGUGCUGUUACGUGCUCAAGGAGAAAAUGACAACAGAUUACUCUGCAAUCAUGAGUGUAGACGCAUUAAACGGAAGGAAGUGUAAUAGUCACAGACUUUAGGCUUAGGAAGCCUAAAUUACCUAAGCUCGUUGAGACUGUUUCUUUCCCCUUAAUACCCAUAGCCACAGAGCUAUGGCAUGUGGGGAAUAAAUCCGAUAAUACGUACAUAGAGCACAGCAGAGAGCCUCGUUAGCAAUAACUAGGAAAGACAAUAGUUGUUUGCUUAGUAAAAUAGGAGAAUAAAUUCAGGUUUUACAGUGAAUCAAACAUGAUUGGAGCUGCACUGAGCACCAGUUAAUGAUUACGGAGUAUUAGAAAUAUCUACGAUGGAUACUGUUUGGGAGGAAGUUAAGAGGCUUUUGCUAAUACUGCAUAUUUACGUUAAGCACAUCUGAGGUUUGGGGAAAUAGUCCAUGGAGUUUUCCAAAAGUCUGCCUUUACUUAUAAAAAUCACAUGAAACAAAAACUCGGCUAUCAGCCUCCGUCAGGGAGCUGAGAGAAGUGUCACAAUACCCACACAUCCAUGCACGUGUGCUUGCGUGUACAGUGCCUCAUGCUCUAGCCGGAAUCAUGGUACCCUAUCUACCUAUAACCAGGUUCUGCACACAUCCCUGACUCCAGGCCUUGGCAUGAUCCUUUGGUGUUGUGUGAGACUGACGAUGCUUUCUAGGUCCAUGGAUUUCUGAGUGUUGCAGGAAUAGAAACUACUUCCCUUAUGAAGAAGCGAAGAAUUCAGUAAUAGAGAGUAGCAUCUACAUCUUAAUACAUGGGUCCUCUUACUUCGUGCUUUUGAAAUGUAAUCCAUUUGGAUGGAAACCAUAUUUAAACGCUCAGCCUCCUUGGCUUGGAAACUGGUGUGCUCCGCUGCUGUUUGUGUGACUUUUCUUCUGCCCAACUGUUGAGGGUGUUUGGUCGGAAGAGGGCCUGCUUUAGCACCCUCAUACCAGCAGCAGCAGGACUGACAAGGACUUUGAACUUCCACAACUGCUCUGUGGAAAUGAUAAACAGCUCUCGCGGUUAGCUAUCAACUACUUCUUCAUAGCCCUCUGGACUACUGUCCACUGCUAUGGCAGUACAAAAGAAACCCACACGAUGAAGUGAACACUGCUAACUUGGCAAACUUUGAGUAACCAAGUGACUUCAGACACUAAGACUAAGCAGUAUGUUAUAAGGGAGUGUAGAAAAAGCAGUGUGAUAUUUGCAUUAAUGCAUUCUUAAUAAUUAAUCCCAGUUCUUCCAAUUUUCCUCUUUCUUGUUAGGUGGUAUGGGAAAUGGAGGUUAUGGAUGUAUAGAGGUAAAAAUGUACCUUUCUAAAAAGCUUCAUUUACUAUUACUGAGUGUGUGUGCAUGUGUGCAUAUAACGUAUGUGUGGUCAUCUGCAUGCCACAGCACACAUAUGGAAGUCAAAGGACAGUCUUGUGGACUUGGUUCUUUCUUUCUCUUUACAUGGGUUCAUGGCUUCCAGGGAUUAAACUCAGGUCAUCAGACUUACACAUCCAGCACUUAUGUGAUGAGCCAUCUUGAAAGCCCUAAACACAGGUCUUAUUCAAAAGCAUUCAAUCCUUGUAAUCCCAGUACUUCAAGGGCAGUAUGAGCUAUGUAGUGAGUUCCAGGUCAGCCUAUAGCUGGGUCUCAUCCAUGUAUGCAUGUAUACUUACACACACACACACACACACACACACACACACACACACACACACACACACACACACACACUCACACACACACAUUCAUAGAUUCUCUCAGAAGAAUACUGGAAUUUGCAAUAUUAGUGCAAAUGCUUUACUCGUUUGCUUGACAACUUCCCUCAAAACUUUGAAAUGAAUCACACUUGCAUAAUGGUAACAUUCAUGCUAUUUCACUCCUAGACAUUGACCAACUCACAUCAAUCUCUUCCCAUAAUCCAUUAGGAAACAUACGUCCUUCUCAGCAGGUAUACUCAAUCUUCAUUAGAAGUUAGAAGGUAGAGAAAUUGCUAAGAAAUAGAGUCGCCAGAAACUGUCAUCAAAGAACAUAUAAUCUAGUCUGAAACGGAGUGAAAUCUAACAGAAAUGUAACAUUUCAGGAAAAUUCCAUCACACUAUAGAGUCUGCACUGUACCGAGCGAUGCAUGCCUGAGACUAUUUAUUUAUUUUAAAUGUCAUCAAUGUUCCUGGCUUACUUCCUAUGACAGUUGGAAAAGUCAAUGUCAGCACCAUGGAGCUCUUCUCAUCUCUGGUUGCCUGUGUGCAUUCUUGCUAUUCUUCUCAUGGCGUGUUUGUUUCUCAUCAAUGGGUGCAUGUUGCUUUGAUUUUAGAAGUACUUACUCUUGCAUUGCCAUAGGGUCUACACAUAUUUUCUCUCGUCCCUUCCACUUGUACUUUUACCUUGUUAGUGGUGUCUGUCAGUUUACUUAAGGAGUCCGUGCUGGUCUUUUCAUUUACGGCUCAUGUCACUGUCCACCAUGUGUAGAUAUGAUAAGCUUUAUGUCCACUUUCAGAUAGCGUCCCAGUUUCCCAAACUCAUGGUUCUGCAGCCACUCUGGGUCAGUUCAUUUUCUCAAGAGCAAACCCUUUCCUUCCUCCAGAUCAUUCCAGCUGUGCUGCUGCUACUUCAGAAUCAUAUAUUUAAUUAUGUGUAUUCGUACGUCUGGGGGUGGGUAUGAGCACAAGAGUGUAGGUACCCACAGAUGCCAGAGAGAUGUAGAAUCCCCUGGGGCCGGAGUUAGAAGCGGUUGUGAGCUCCAAGAGCACUAUGUGCUCCUGAGCUCUUAACCACUGAACUGCCUCUGCAGCCCUGAUGUUACUUCUUAUUAGUGGACUCCUCUGGCUGUUUGGUUUUGUUUCCUGUUUGCUGGUUUAUUAUUUUUCUUCCUUUUUGAGACAGAAUCUCAUUGUGAUUGGUCUGGAACUUGCUAUACAGCUCAGGCUGGCCUCUAAACAACAGAGACCUGCCUGCAGGCUUUCCGGGUGCUGAGAUGAAAGGAAAAUGCUACCCUUUCUCAUGCCUCCGAAACAUCCCCUGUUCCUGCACAGCACGUAGAGUUUUCUUCCACCGCAGUUCUCUCAGAUUUUAUGUUAUAUAUGACUUCAAAUGCUUGUUGUGUAUAUAGUUGUCUUAGUAAAUUUCAAGUCUGUGAGGGGAUACAUCAAGUAUGCUUGGUUACCUGCUAUUCCAACCUGUCCCUGGACCCUGACUAUAGCGUACUACGUAAUUGUGCUUAGAGCAGGAGGGGAAAUUCUUAGAGAACACAUCAUCAAAGAUAAAUAAAAAACUAAUUAUACAGAAAGGAAGAAAAUGAACCUGUGAGCAGUAGGAAAGUAGAACUUUCUUUUACAUGGGGAAGCUUGGAAAUUAAAAGUAGUGCUGUGGCUAUACCUGUCUCAAUCAAUAAAGAAAUGGUAAGUUUGAGUAGGUACCUGUGAGUGAAGCACCAAGGCCCAGGAGAAACUAGAUUCACUUGUACUUUACUAAUCACCAUGAUGCUUUCAAGGGUUUUUUUUGUUAAUAAAACUAAAUGGAGUAACUUACCAUAUGAAAAUUCUAGAAGCGUUGCAGAUGAUGAAGCUAAGGACAUGUAGUUUACAAUACAGCGGUCUGUAAAUGCCUUGAUACUCUAGCUUCCCCUAGCUAAGAGGGCAAAGGUGCAUUUCUGUGUAUCUUCAUGUUAAAUGUAAGGAAAGUCAUGAAGGAUGUAGUCUCUCAGCAGCCUCUUUCUCAUGAGAAGCCAGUUGAGGCAGCACCCCACCUUAUAGGUGACUGUCAUACAGGCACACUAUGACCUCUGUGCCUAGCAUCCUGCUUCGUAUAAAACCUGAGUUUCAAGAGAAGAUAAUAAUUCUCUUGAUUUCGGGCUGGAGAGAUGGCUCAGAGGUUAAGAGCACCGACUGCUCUUACAGAGGUCCUGAGUUCAAUUCCCAGCACCCACAUGGUGGCUCACAACCAUCUGUAAUGAUAUCUGGCGCCCUCUUCUGUAUACGUAAUAAAUAAAUAAAUCUUUUAAAAAAAAUAAUUUUCUUGAUCUCAAAAUGGUGGCCCCUGAAGCUUCCUUUAAACAUAGGCUUUGGCAGUUAGGGAAAGAGCAGAGAAAAAAAAAAAAAUCAGAUAUCCCAUAGCCAAUCAGAUUGCAGUGUUGUACUGGUCCCUCCUUCCUACUGAAUCUCCUACUCACUGAGGAAAAACUGACACCACCCAGCAUCCCGUUUCUCAAGCCUCCUGUUUGCCCUCCAGGAGUGAACUGCAGAAUAGGUAAGACAUAGUAGGAGCUGGCAGACAAGCAAGAGGGGUUUGAAAUGCAGAAAAGCUACUAUUUCUCACAAAACCCCAGCAGAGUUUUAAAUUCAAACACGCCACGCACAUCCCUGCGCCUUUCAUCCUGCGAAUGUAGUGUCUAAGCAUGCCUUCUUCAGAGUGAUCACAUCACACUGGCUUAUUUCAGCCUCUGUUAUAGCAAAGGACAAAAAUGAGAAAAAUAAUAGCCCCCUUUUUUUGUUGCUGUUAGGUAUAGGAGAGAAAAAAUUGUACUAAUCUCAAUUGGCGAACACCCCAGGAGCCUACAGUUCCAAUUUUCUUUUCACAGUAUUAAUGAAACUGGGUGUGGGAAAAGUCAAAUCUUCCCCAUAAAUCUGAAACCAUUUUCAAGGCUUGCCUCAAAUUAUAAUAACAUCCAUAUAUAAGACACGGCAUGGAGAUCUAUUCCAGCGAGAUUAUUUUAGGGAAGUGGUUUUCUAGAUGGGGUAGAGAUAGAAAUCUGAAUGUAAUUACUUUAAGUUAGAUCUAUGAUAAAACCAGGAGACUUUGCAAAAAAAAAAUCUAAUCUAUACAUCUUGCCAACAGUGUUUUAAAAGGAUCGUCCUAAGAUAAAUACCUAUCCAGUGGUUCUACUUAGCAAUGUGAUACAUAUAGAACAGUCUGGGGUUUUAUGAUCCUACAUAUGCCCUUCCACUUCUGAAAUAUAUAGCUCACAUUCCAAUUUUUAUCAUUGGUAUGUUUUACUCUUUCUUAUUAUUUCUUAAGACUGGUAAUUUCUUAGUCUUUCUUAAAGCUCAAAUGCCGAAUUUUCAUUGUCAUCAGUAUACAGACAUGCCCAUGUUUCAUCCUUGAUGUGACAGGGACAUGCUUGAUGUCAAAGCUAUAAGUUAGUGCUGUGCAUUGAGGAAAUAAAACCAUCCUGGAAUACUGCCUGGAAACUACAGUCUUACCCUGAAAGAGAAUUUUGGAAACAACAUAAAUAUAAUAAGAUUACAGUGGAGGACCUGCUCAUUCAAGUGCACAAAAUGGUUUCAUAAAAAUGGCAGUUUGAGUGAUAAAGAGAGCAUGUGAUGGCAUGCCACUGCCUUGGCAAACUUAUUAUUGGAAAUAUAAAGUGUCCCUAUCUACGGCCAAACAAACCCUCAGUCUAGGUUUUAUGGAUUGAGACCUUAAAUAGCAUUUCUCAUCUAGAUUUUUAUUUAUUCUAUUUUAUUAAUUCUGCUGCUAUUGUAGACAAAUCCAAGGCUUUGUGAAUGAAUGACUUAUACACUACCAUUGAACCUUUCAGGCUGUCCAGUUUCAUUUUGUUUUUAUUUAUUCUUUGAGAAUGGCAUACUUAUAUACAAUGAUGAAGUAUCCAACUACUUUCUGAAUACUUAUCCUUGUGCCUAUAAAUUACUACAGGUUUCACCCCUCAUUGAAGAAGCUUCUUUUUCCAUCUUUAUUAUUUUUUUAUUUCUAUUUUGUUUUUAAUUGUAUGUAGUACAUGCAAGUGAAUGAAACACCCAUGGAGACCAAAAGAGGAGUUGAGUCCCCAGGAGCUGUAGUUACAGGUCAUUGUAACACCCCUGGCGUGUGUGACAGGAACUGAACACAGGUCUUCUAAAGUACAGUAUAUGCACUACUAACCUCUGAGCCAACCACCUCCAUUUUAUUUUUCAAUAACAAUAUUUAGGGCUUAAAAUGUGACUCAGUUGGUUGAGUGCUUGCUUGGCGUGUAGAAAGCCCCAGAUUCAACCUUUAGCAACUCAUAGAUCAAAUACGAUAUGCAUAUGUGUUAUCCCAGCCCCUAAGGUGUGGACACAGGAAGACUAGAACUUCACUGUUAGCUUCAGCUACAAGUAUGUAGUUUGAGGCAAGCUUGGGAAGCUUUAGGGUGCCUCAAAAAGAAAGAAAGAGAGAGAAAGAAAGAAAGAGAGAGAGA
Molecule: long non-coding RNA, 11145 nt
Organism: Peromyscus californicus insignis
Lineage: Eukaryota; Metazoa; Chordata; Mammalia; Rodentia; Cricetidae
Exons: 2
Source: RefSeq, a predicted model, not a curated record